RNAcentral lists this RNase P RNA (376 nucleotides) under Gemmatimonadota bacterium. RNAcentral describes it as "RNase P RNA component class A". It matches the Rfam family "Bacterial RNase P class A". From Rfam's summary of the family: Ribonuclease P (RNase P) is a ubiquitous endoribonuclease, found in archaea, bacteria and eukarya as well as chloroplasts and mitochondria. Its best characterised activity is the generation of mature 5'-ends of tRNAs by cleaving the 5'-leader elements of precursor-tRNAs. Cellular RNase Ps are ribonucleoproteins. The record is from RNAcentral. Lineage: Bacteria; Pseudomonadati; Gemmatimonadota.
ACGGAGGGAGAAGGGGUCGCGCGUCGGGGGCUCAGCGUCCGGCGCGAGGAAAGUCCGGGCUCCGCAGGGCACGGCGCCGGGUAACGCCCGGGCGUCGCGAGGCGACGGAAAGUGUCACAGAGAACAGACCGCCGAUGGCGGCUUCGGCCGCACAGGCAAGGGUGAAACGGUGGGGUAAGAGCCCACCGCGCGGUCCGGCGACGGACGCGGCACGACAAACCCCGCCGGGAGCAAGGCCGAGCAGGAGCGAGCGGUGGCCCGCCGCGUUCGAGCUCCGGGUAGGCCGCACCAGGCGUCGGGAAACCGGCGUCGCAGAGAGAUGACCCCGCGGGCCUUCGGGCCCGUCACAGAACCCGGCUUAUCUCCCUCCGCGCCC